RNA transcript from Eriocheir sinensis (Chinese mitten crab), 2033 nucleotides. RefSeq lists it as uncharacterized. NCBI's taxonomy places the organism in Eukaryota, Metazoa, Arthropoda, Malacostraca, Decapoda, Varunidae. The transcript is spliced from 5 exons. The record is from RefSeq and is a predicted model, not a curated record.
GAGUGUCCAGUGUGCCUGACAGGCUUUGAUGACUUAGUACAGCGGCCACGCACUCUGCCCUGUGGCCACAUAGUCUGCACACUGUGCACAGAUAAACUGAAGGAGCAGCGCCGUGUUACCUGUCCGGAGUGCCGCGUCAGCCAUGCCGUGCCCAAGGGCGGGCAGUUCCCUGUCUGCUAUACAAUUGAGGCCUUAAUAAGAAGGCUGAGAGAUGGCAAGGCGGCACCAGCAGCCUCGCCGCCACCCAGUGCCGGGAAGGGGAAAGGGGCAGCAGGAUCAGCUGGCAAGAAGAGAGCAGCGAGUCUCUCCAAGAAAAUGCGUUCCUUUCUGCAGGAACAGGAGGCCACAGUUGUGGCCGCCAUCACCGCCUGCCAGGAGGCUCAGUCCCAGCUGGACCAGUAUGAGGCCACCCUGACAGGCUGGGUCGAGCGGCAGCAGCAGCUGGAGGACAGCCUCCAGGGACUGAUGAACCUGAGCAGGAGUUCCAGGGAGCUCCUGCAGCAGGAAAAGUUCCGUGUGGCACCGAAGAGGAAGGAGGCGAUGAAGAAGGAGCAGGAGCUGCAGGCUGUGCGGGAGAAGUUGCGCACUCGUGCAACAGAGCAAGAGGCAAUCAAGAUGGUGGGUGAAGUGAUUCACUUCACCAAUAAGGCGGAGCAGGUGUUGGAGGAGUGCCAGCAGUGUUUCCCUGACGCCGGCAUCCUCACCACCGCCAGGAAGGUGAGAGAGGCAUCUAGUGCAGCCCUGGAGGCCGCCCAGGCUGUCCAGGCGGCUUGGGAAACUGUUUCUACGGAAGAGCUUAGGCCCCAGUCAGACCCAGAAGAGCCCAGUUCCCAGUCAGACCCAGAAGACCCCAGUUCCCAGUCAGACGAAGAAGAACCCAGGCCCCAGUCAGACCCAGAAGAACCCAGGCCCCAGUCAGUCAAAGAAGAACCCAGGCCCCAGUCAGUCAAAGAAGAACCCAGGCCCCAGUCAGUCAAAGAAGAACCCAGGCCCCAGUCAGUCAAAGAAGAACCCAGGCCCCAGUCAGACUCAGAAGAACCCAGUUCGCAGUCAGACCCAGAAGAGCCCAGUUCCCAGUCAGACGCAGAAGAACCCAGGCCCCAGUCAUACACAGACUUCACCAUCAUGGAAAAAGUGCAGUUCAUUUUAGAGCCAAACUUGAAGGCCGAGGACUUCCGCAGUCUGACACAGCACACCAGGAGCCUGCUGCAGGCUGGCUGGGUGUUUGCUGAGCUCCAGGUGGAAGGUCAGCGACGACACGCAAGAAUAAGCCUCGAAGCCGGCCGGCCGUGCCUCCAUGUCCUGACGGACCAUCCCCCGCCACUGGGCGCGGCAACCCUGCAGGUCAACCAGGUCGUGCCGCCCUCCCCCCCCUGCACGGUGUUCCUGGACCUGUCCUGGCCGGGCCGUGCGCCGCGCCGGGUCCACAUCCGUCUGAGCCCCGACACCCAGCGGGGCCGCCAGUUCCUGAUGCUGUGCACGGGGCAGCGCGGCCCCUCCUACCGCGGCACCAGGCUGUACGAUGUGUGGUGGAAGGGGGAGCCGGGAGAGUAUGUGUUUGGCGGGGACUACGAGAGUAAUGAUGGUGAGGGGGAAUGUGUGCUGCUGCCUGGCCUUGAGGAGGGUGUGAAGGGGAGGCCAUGGCGGGCAGGGGAUGUGUGGGGGAGGGGGAGGCAGGGUAUGUUUACCAUCACCACCAGGGACGAGGAGGAUGAUGUGUGGCCUUGUUGUUGUGUCUUCGGUGAGGUGUUGGAGGGACUGCACGUGGUGGCCGAGGCAGCCCAACACAGCGACAUUAAGGAGGUGACUGUGGUGGACUGUGGCGUGGUGCUGUAAGGGUAUACUGGCCUGCACCACCACCACCACCACCACCACAACAACAUUAAGGAGGUGACUGUGGUGGACUGUGGCGUGGUGCUGUAAGGGUAUACUGGCCUGCACCACCACCACCACCUCCACAACAUUAUAGAGGAAAUUGUGGUGGACUGUGUGUGGUGUUGAGGGUACUGGCCUGCACCACCACCACCACCACA